This 482-nucleotide ribosomal RNA is filed under the name uncultured bacterium. RNAcentral's name for it is "partial 16S ribosomal RNA". It matches the Rfam family "Bacterial small subunit ribosomal RNA", at positions 30 to 507 of the family's 1533-position model. The record is from RNAcentral.
AUUGAACGCUGGCGGCAUGCCUUACACAUGCAAGUCGAACGGUAACGGGCCUUCGGGUGCCGACGAGUGGCGAACGGGUGAGUAAUACAUCGGAACGUGCCCGAUCGUGGGGGAUAACGAGGCGAAAGCUUUGCUGAUACCGCAUACGAUCUACGGAUGAAAGCAGGGGACCGCAAGGCCUUGCGCGGACGGAGCGGCCGAUGGCAGAUUAGGUAGUUGGUGGGAUAAAAGCUUACCAAGCCGACGAUCUGUAGCUGGUCUGAGAGGAUGAUCAGCCACACUGGGACUGAGACACGGCCCAGACUCCUACGGGAGGCAGCAGUGGGGAAUUUUGGACAAAGGGCGCAAGCCUGAUCCAGCCAUGCCGCGUGCAGGAUGAAGGCCUUCGGGUUGUAAACUGCUUUUGUACGGAACGAAAAGCCUUCUUUUAAUACAGGAGGGUCAUGACGGUACCGUAAGAAUAAGCACCGGCUAACUACGUG